GCUUUUGGUUCAGUGGUAGAAUGCUCGCCUGCCACGCGGGCGCCCCGCGUUCCCCGAUUCCCGGCCGAUGCA
Cordylochernes scorpioides is the source of this 72-nucleotide non-coding RNA. The record is from the annotation of a GenBank genome assembly. NCBI's taxonomy places the organism in Eukaryota, Metazoa, Arthropoda, Arachnida, Pseudoscorpiones, Chernetidae.